This 84-nucleotide transfer RNA is filed under the name Trichophyton schoenleinii. RNAcentral's name for it is "tRNA-Ala". It matches the Rfam family "tRNA". Rfam says of the family: Transfer RNA (tRNA) molecules are approximately 80 nucleotides in length. Lineage: Eukaryota; Fungi; Ascomycota; Eurotiomycetes; Onygenales; Arthrodermataceae. The record is from RNAcentral. RNAcentral also lists the same sequence under 4 other names.
GGGCGUUUAGUUUAGUGGUAAAACACCCCAUUCGCAGGAUCAACAAACAUUGGGGAGCUGGGGGUUCGAUUCCCCCAUCGUCCA